CGCGGGGUGGAGCAGUUGGCAGCUCGUCGGGCUCAUAACCCGAAGGUCGGAGGUUCAAGUCCUUCCCCCGCAA
Molecule: transfer RNA, 73 nt
Filed under: Fervidicella metallireducens AeB
Lineage: Bacteria; Bacillati; Bacillota; Clostridia; Eubacteriales; Clostridiaceae
Rfam family: tRNA
About the family: Transfer RNA (tRNA) molecules are approximately 80 nucleotides in length. Their secondary structure includes four short double-helical elements and three loops (D, anti-codon, and T loops).
Source: Rfam by way of RNAcentral